This 908-nucleotide ribosomal RNA is filed under the name uncultured bacterium. RNAcentral's name for it is "bacterial SSU rRNA". It matches the Rfam family "Bacterial small subunit ribosomal RNA", at positions 8 to 913 of the family's 1533-position model. The record is from RNAcentral.
AGACUUUGAUUCUGGCUCAGGAUGAACGCUGGCGGCGUGCCUAAUACAUGCAAGUCGAACGAAUCUUCUUCGGAAGAUGAGUGGCGAACGGGUGAGUAAUACAUAGGUAACCUGCCCCUGUGCGGGGGAUAACAGGAGGAAACUCCUGCUAAUACCGCAUAGCCAUGAGCACCGCAUGGAGCUCAUGCCAAAUAUCCUUUCGGGGAUAGCGCAGGGAUGGACCUAUGGCGCAUUAGCUGGUUGGCGGGGCAACGGCCCACCAAGGCAACGAUGCGUAGCCGGCCUGAGAGGGCGGACGGCCACAUUGGGACUGAGACACGGCCCAGACUCCUACGGGAGGCAGCAGUAGGGAAUUUUCGGCAAUGGGGGAAACCCUGACCGAGCAACGCCGCGUGAGCGAAGAAGGCCUUCGGGUCGUAAAGCUCUGUUGUAAAGGAAGAACGGCGCAUACAGGAAAUGGUAUGCGAGUGACGGUACCUUACCAGAAAGCCACGGCUAACUACGUGCCAGCAGCCGCGGUAAUACGUAGGUGGCGAGCGUUAUCCGGAAUCAUUGGGCGUAAAGAGGGAGCAGGCGGCCGCAAGGGUCUGUGGUGAAAGACCGAAGCUAAACUUCGGUAAGCCAUGGAAACCGGGCGGCUAGAGCGCGGAAGAGGAUCGUGGAAUUCCAUGUGUAGCGGUGAGAUGCGUAGAUAUAUGGAGGAACACCAGUGGCGAAGGCGACGGUCUGGGCCGCAACUGACGCUCAUUCCCGAAAGCGUGGGGAGCAAAUAGGAUUAGAUACCCUAGUAGUCCACGCCGUAAACGAUGGUCACUAAGUGUCGGGGGUCAAACCCCGGUGCUGCAGUCAACGCAAUAAGUGACCCGCCUGAGCAGUACGUUCGCAAGAAUGCAACUCAAAGGAAUUGA